UAAGCCUGCUGCUUGGGGAGUACGGUCGCAAGACUGAAACUUAAAGGAAUUGGCGGGAGAGCACAGCAACGGGAGGAGCGUGCGGUUUAAUUGGAUUCAACGCCGGAAAACUCACCAGGAGCGACGGUUACAUGAAGGCCAGGCUGAUGACCUUGCCUGAUUUUCCGAGAGGUGGUGCAUGGCCGCCGUCAGUUCGUACCGUGAGGCGUUCUCUUAAGUGAGAUAACGAACGAGACCCUCGCCCCUAUUUGCCACCCCUCUCUUCGGAGAUGGAGCACUAUAGGGGGACCGCUGGCGCUAAGUCAGAGGAAGGAGAGGUCAACGGUAGGUCAGUAUGCCCCGAAUCUCCUGGGCUACACGCGCGCUACAAAGGACAGGACAAUGGGCUGCAACACCGAGAGGUGAAGCCAAUCCCGAAACCUGUUCGUAGUCCGGAUUGAGGGUUGUAACUCACCCUCAUGAAGCUGGAUUCCGUAGUAAUCGCGGAUCAACAUCCCGCGGUGAAUGUGCCCCUGCUCUUUGCACACACCGCCCGUCAAACCAUCCGAGUUGGGUUCG
Molecule: ribosomal RNA, 558 nt
Filed under: uncultured archaeon
Lineage: Archaea
Description: bacterial SSU rRNA
Rfam family: Archaeal small subunit ribosomal RNA
Source: RNAcentral